RNAcentral lists this ribosomal RNA (269 nucleotides) under uncultured bacterium. Its description in RNAcentral is "partial 16S ribosomal RNA". It matches the Rfam family "Bacterial small subunit ribosomal RNA", at positions 793 to 1055 of the family's 1533-position model. The record is from RNAcentral.
GUCCACGCUGUAAACGAUGAGCACUAGGUGUGGGGGGGUUCAGUCCCUUCCGUGCCGCAGCUAACGCAUUAAGUGCUCCGCCUGGGGAGUACGGCCGCAAGGUUGAAACUCAAAGGAAUUGACGGGGGCCCGCACAAGCGGUGGAGCAUGUGGUUCAAUUCGAUGCAGAGCGAAGAACCUUACCUGGGCUUGACAUGCAGGAAGUAGAAACCGGAAACGGCAACGACCUGUUAAGUCAGGAACCUGCACAGGUGGUGCAUGGCUGUCGU